Molecule: ribosomal RNA, 1346 nt
Filed under: Penicillium sp.
Lineage: Eukaryota; Fungi; Ascomycota; Eurotiomycetes; Eurotiales; Aspergillaceae
Description: partial small subunit ribosomal RNA
Rfam family: Eukaryotic small subunit ribosomal RNA
Source: RNAcentral
GAUAAUGCAUGUCUAGUAUAGCACUUGUACUGUGAAACUGCGAAUGGCUCAUUAAAUCAGUUAUCGUUUAUUUGAUAGUACCUUACUACAUGGAUACCUGUGGUAAUUCUAGAGCUAAUACAUGCUAAAAACCCCGACUUCAGGAAGGGGUGUAUUUAUUAGAUAAAAAACCAACGCCCUUCGGGGCUCCUUGGUGAAUCAUAAUAACUUAACGAAUCGCAUGGCCUUGCGCCGGCGAUGGUUCAUUCAAAUUUCUGCCCUAUCAACUUUCGAUGGUAGGAUAGUGGCCUACCAUGGUGGCAACGGGUAACGGGGAAUUAGGGUUCGAUUCCGGAGAGGGAGCCUGAGAAACGGCUACCACAUCCAAGGAAGGCAGCAGGCGCGCAAAUUACCCAAUCCCGAUACGGGGAGGUAGUGACAAUAAAUACUGAUACGGGGCUCUUUUGGGUCUCGUAAUUGGAAUGAGAACAAUUUAAAUCCCUUAACGAGGAACAAUUGGAGGGCAAGUCUGGUGCCAGCAGCCGCGGUAAUUCCAGCUCCAAUAGCGUAUAUUAAAGUUGUUGCAGUUAAAAAGCUCGUAGUUGAACCUUGGGUCUGGCUGGCCGGUCCGCCUCACCGCGAGUACUGGUCCGGCUGGACCUUUCCUUCUGGGGAACCUCAUGGCCUUCACUGGCUGUGGGGGGAACCAGGACUUUUACUGUGAAAAAAUUAGAGUGUUCAAAGCAGGCCUUUGCUCGAAUACAUUAGCAUGGAAUAAUAGAAUAGGACGUGUGGUUCUAUUUUGUUGGUUUCUAGGACCGCCGUAAUGAUUAAUAGGGAUAGUCGGGGGCGUCAGUAUUCAGCUGUCAGAGGUGAAAUUCUUGGAUUUGCUGAAGACUAACUACUGCGAAAGCAUUCGCCAAGGAUGUUUUCAUUAAUCAGGGAACGAAAGUUAGGGGAUCGAAGACGAUCAGAUACCGUCGUAGUCUUAACCAUAAACUAUGCCGACUAGGGAUCGGACGGGAUUCUAUAAUGACCCGUUCGGCACCUUACGAGAAAUCAAAGUUUUUGGGUUCUGGGGGGGAAUAUGGUCCCAAGGCUGAAACUUUAAGAAAUUGACGGAAGGGCACCCCAAGGGGUGGAACCCGCGGCUUAAUUUGACCAACACCGGGGAAACUCCCCAGGUCCCAACAAAAAAAGGGUUGACCGAUUGGGAACCCUUCUCUGACCUUUUUGAAAGAGGGUGCCAGGCCGGCCUUAUUUUGUGGGAGAGAGAUUUUUCUCCUUAUUUUUGUAAAAAAAACAAAAACCCCGCCCCUUAAAAAAACAGGGGCGCCAUUUUUCGCGGCGCCGGGGUCUUUAUUAGG